Molecule: ribosomal RNA, 498 nt
Filed under: uncultured bacterium
Lineage: Bacteria
Description: partial 16S ribosomal RNA
Rfam family: Bacterial small subunit ribosomal RNA
Source: RNAcentral
AUUGAACGCUGGCGGCAUGCCUUACACAUGCAAGUCGAACGGUAACAGGUCUUCGGAUGCUGACGAGUGGCGAACGGGUGAGUAAUACAUCGGAACGUGCCUAGUAGUGGGGGAUAACUACUCGAAAGAGUGGCUAAUACCGCAUGAGAUCUACGGAUGAAAGCAGGGGAUCGCAAGACCUUGUGCUACUAGAGCGGCCGAUGGCAGAUUAGGUAGUUGGUGGGAUAAAAGCUUACCAAGCCGACGAUCUGUAGCUGGUCUGAGAGGACGAUCAGCCACGCUGGGACUGAGACACGGCCCGGACUCCUACGGGAGGAAGCAGUGGGGAAUUUUGGAGAAUGGGCGCAAGCCUGAUCCAGCAAUGCCGCGUGCAGGAUGAAGGCCUUCGGGUUGUAAACUGCUUUUGUACGGAACGAAAAGCCCUGGGUUAAUACCCUGGGGUCAUGACGGUACCGUAAGAAUAAGCACCGGCUAACUACGUGCCAGCCGCCGCCGUAA